AGAUUGAACGCUGGCGGCAUGCCUAACACAUGCAAGUCGAACGGGAGUAGCAAUACUCUAGUGGCGGACGGGUGAGGAAUACGUAGGAAUUUGCCCUUAAGUGGGGGAUAACCCGGGGAAACCCGGAUUAAUACCGCAUGACCUCGAAAGAGCAAAGUGGGGGAUCGCAAGACCUCACGCUUUUGGAGAAGCCUACGUCGGAUUAGCUAGUUGGUGAGGUAAUGGCUCACCAAGGCGACGAUCCGUAACUGGUCUGAGAGGAUGAUCAGUCACACCGGAACUGAGACACGGUCC
Molecule: ribosomal RNA, 294 nt
Filed under: uncultured soil bacterium
Lineage: Bacteria
Description: partial 16S ribosomal RNA
Rfam family: Bacterial small subunit ribosomal RNA
Source: RNAcentral